UCACUCUUUCCUUUUCACGUCUUUCUUCCUCUCCUCUGACCCAGAACUUCAAGCUUCCUCUCCUCUUACCCAGAACUUCAAGCUUCCUCUCUUCAAGUUUCUUUUCUCUUCUUGAAUAUUAGGAAUAUGGAUAAAAAAAUUUCAGAUUCAUCUUCAAAUGCUGCAGAUGAGGAAUUUUGGAAUCUUGCCAAUUCAUCAUCAGACGAAGAAUUGAUGAAUAUGUAGAUUAUUGCUCUACAAGAGAAUGGAAGAACCUUUCUCCAUGGAUUUGAAGACUGGCAAUGGAUUUGAAGCCAUAUCUCAUCAGUUUGGUCCGGUCAGUUCUCACCUCGUUGAGCAAUUUCUUGUAUAUAUUGAUUGUGAUUAGUGAUCUUAACAUGUGGGUGUUAUGAUUUGGAGUAAUGGGUGUUGUAGAAGGUCAAUUUUGUUUACUGGAUUUGAAUUUUUUGAAUGCCAUAAUGCCCUGUUCAGCUGUUGGGUUUGUACCUUAACUGCAAUGUACUAGCUUUAAUGGGUUUUGUUUUGUUGUUGCAUUAGAUAAUUGCUAUUCUUUGGUUCCAUUUUUCGGAGUUGAGACCUGUGCAUUAAUAUGGUUCUGUAAUGUGCUUAGGGAAACUUAAAAGCUCUGAACUUGCUAAAACAAUCAAGUAGGCAACUUUUAAGUGCUGAGAGGUGUAUUCAGUUGAAUUCCCAACCUGAUGUAUGUGCCUAAUUGCAAUGAUCUAGCUUGCAUGGGUUUGUUUUCUUUUUAUAUGGAUGAUUGCUAGCCUUUUGUUCAAUUUUGAGUUGACAUGUGUACAAAUGCCAUUAGUUGUUUAGGGGAAACCUACACUAUCUUAAGUGCUAAAAGACAUGUCUUCUGGUAUGCGAUUUGAUAUUGUUGUUCAAGUAAACAACUUUAAGCUCUGAGAGUUGUGAUUUGAAUUCCCAGCCUGAUGUGGUAGUAAACUGUGCUGCACUUUCGGUUCCUCGUGCCUGUACAAUGGAUCCUGCUGCAGCUAUGUCAGUUAAUGUGCCAUCUUCUCUUGUUAAUUGAUUAUCGAGCAUAGAAGAGAGUAAUUAUCUUCUGAUCCAUUUGUCAACUGAUCAAGGUAAGUUGUUUCAUAUACUGUAAUUUGUUCAUAUUCCUAGUUCAGUUACUCUGUAAAGAUGGAUCAAUAAAAGCAAACAGGAGAAACUGGUAAGAACUACAAUGGCACAUAGUUGCUUACCAACGAGAGCCUAUCAUUUUUUAAGCUCCUUGGAGGGGAGUUGGAAUAAGGGUUGGGAUUAGGAUAGUUGAAUGUUCUUAGGGUAAAUAAAUAAAAUAAAGUUUUGGCUUUUGUCGAUUAAAAAACCCUUGUUCUUUAUGUUCCAAAAAUGUAAAUAAAUAAAAUAAGGUUUUGGCUUUUGUCGAUUGAAGAAUCUUGGCUUACUAUAACAACCAUGAUUGCACUAUAUUGGUUAUUCCAGCCAUUGUGUGGAAUGUGUGUCUUCUAUGAUAUAGUUUGCAUUACCCUCUCUUAGUGUAUUGUAUCUUACUCCAGAGAAGAACAACAGCUAAGGUACUAACAAAUAACUUAGGUGAGAAACUGAGUUGCAUUACCCUCUCUUAGUGUAUUGUAUCUUACUCCAGAGAAGAACAACAGCUAAGGUACUAACAAAUAACUUAGGUGAGAAACUGAGUUGCAUUACCCUCUCUUUGUAGGGCUUCUCUUCCCAAAGAUUACGGCAGGAAUUAUGCAGAUGAGUUAAAUGCAUGUUUCUCUUUUGAUUUUUUAGAUUUUGUUUUGUGACUCUGUUGUGCAGACUGAUAAAUGCAUAUGCGUUAAUAAAUGUAGAUGCAUUAAAGCAUGUUUCUAAGGAGCUAUGUCAAUCUCCCAUGGCCUCCCUCUUGCCGUAUAACGUUAAGAACAGCAAUAAUCACUACAACUUGAUUGGAUUGUAUUUCUGAACAAUUCUCUCAGUCUUUUCAUAUCUCUCAACUAAAGCAAAUUCAAGAAUCUUCCUUGUUCAAAGGAUAAAUAUAAGAUGGGGAAGAUUGUUGCGGGAAUUCUUGGUAGAAUAGAAAUGUGCAGCAUUAGUCUGUAUGGGAGAUUGCAAAGCCUUCUAGAUCUUUUAGUUUGUAUCAGUUCGUUUGGUUUCCAGUGAAAUAGAUAUGUUUUCACCUGUUUAGGUUUCCUGCUAUGUAUUCCUUCAUCUCAAAUUCUCAU
Rosa chinensis is the source of this 2192-nucleotide long non-coding RNA. RefSeq lists it as uncharacterized. The record is from RefSeq and is a predicted model, not a curated record. The transcript is spliced from 3 exons. Lineage: Eukaryota; Viridiplantae; Streptophyta; Magnoliopsida; Rosales; Rosaceae.